AGCAGCCGCGGUAAUUCCAGCUCCAAUAGCGUAUAUUAAAGUUGUUGCAGUUAAAAAGCUCGUAGUUGAAUUUCGGGGUCAGUAGGUUGGUCGUGCCACCGGUACGUACUGGUCUCACUGAUUCCUCCUUCCUGAAGAACCGUAAUGCCAUUAAUUUGGUGUUGCGGGGAAACAGGACUGUUACUUUGAAAAAAUUAGAGUGUUUAAAGCAAGCUAACGCUUGAAUACAUUAGCAUGGAAUAAUGAAAUAGGACGAUCGAUCCUAUUUUGUUGGUUUCUAGGAUUGACGUAAUGAUUAAUAGGGAUAGUUGGGGGCAUUAGUAUUCAAUUGUCAGAGGUGAAAUUCUUGGAUUUAUUGAAGACUAACUACUGCGAAAGCAUUUGCCAAGGAUGUUUUCAUUAAUCAAGAACGAAAGUUAGGGGAUCGAAGACGAUCAGAUACCGUCGUAGUCUUAACCAUAAACUAUGCCGACUAGGGAUCGGAUGAUGUUAAUUUUAUAAUGACUCAUUCGGCGCCUUA
Molecule: ribosomal RNA, 520 nt
Filed under: uncultured Glomus
Lineage: Eukaryota; Fungi; Glomeromycota; Glomeromycetes; Glomerales; Glomeraceae
Description: SSU rRNA
Rfam family: Eukaryotic small subunit ribosomal RNA
Source: RNAcentral